GAUGAAGAACGUAGCGAAACGCGAUACGUAAUGUGAAUUGCAGAAUUCAGUGAAUCAUCGAAUCUUUGAACGCACAUUGCGCCCCUUGGUAUUCCAUGGGGCAUGCCUGUUCGAGCGUCAUUUGUACCUUCAAGCUCUGCUUGGUGUUGGGUGUUUGUCUCGCCUCUGCGUGUAGACUCGCCUCAAAACAAUUGGCAGCCGGCGUAUUGAUUUCGGAGCGCAGUACAUCUCGCGCUUUGCACUCAUAACGACGACGUCCAAAAGUACAUUUUUACACUCUUGACCUCGGAUCAGGUAGGGAUACCCGCUGAACUUAAGCAUAUCAAUAAGCGGAGGA
RNAcentral lists this unclassified non-coding RNA (337 nucleotides) under soil metagenome. Its description in RNAcentral is "partial contains 5.8S ribosomal RNA, internal transcribed spacer 2, and large subunit ribosomal RNA". The stretch from base 1 to 120 matches the Rfam family "5.8S ribosomal RNA", at positions 35 to 154 of the family's 154-position model. The record is from RNAcentral.